Long non-coding RNA from Nycticebus coucang (slow loris), 5129 nucleotides. RefSeq lists it as uncharacterized. Lineage: Eukaryota; Metazoa; Chordata; Mammalia; Primates; Lorisidae. The transcript has 6 exons. The record is from RefSeq and is a predicted model, not a curated record.
UUGUAAUUUUAAAAAUAUUUUUAAGAGAUUGUGAAACCAGAUGUUGCAAUGUGACUUUGUGACUUUUGUCAGAAUUCAUUUCUGAUGAUAGAUUGGCCUCUGGAUGGUUUUCCCCAGCCAAAUGACUGCUCUGGUCUUCAGUGACACAAUCCCAACAAGGAGAAGAAUAUGAAGAAUUUGACUUUGUAUUGAUGCUAAAAACAUGGAUAAAUAAAGUCUUUGAAAAACGUGGAAAAUGGAAAAUGGCAUUGCCUGAUGCGUAUAGGAUGAGGUCAAAUGGAUGAACAGCUACAGGAAUGUUUUGUUCAGACUCAUUCUGAUUACAACUGCCUUCUAGGACUUUGUGGGAAGAUCAUCAAUUAGCUGUAGUCCUUCCUGGGUGUGACAAAUCCUAGACAAUUGUAUACAACAGCUGUAGACAACUCUUGAAGGGCUACCCAGCUCACAGUUAGAGCCUCUUUCUGGGAGGCACCCUGACACUCAAGGGAGGGAUUGCAGGCCUGGCCACAGCUGAUUGUUAUGGAGGGAAUGUUUGAACCAAGCUGGGCCAAUCAGAUUCUUGGAAUGAGGUUACUGUAAUGGGAAUGUUCUAGUGAGGGGAUCCAUGGACUCAAGGUACUUAGGUCUUUGGAACGGCCAUGGUUCUAGCCUUUCCUAAUUCUCCAUUCAAUCUUUUUGUGAAAUUUAAUUAAGUGAUUAUUAUUAUUUUUUAGUGUCAAUUUCUUUUCUUGUCCUGUAGGGUAGGUUAAUAUCUUAUUAUCUUCCAGCCUUCCCCUAGCAUUGCCGUUAAUAUGUAUGAUACCUUUAUUGAGUUAAAAAAAGGUGUCGCCCUCUGGGAGGACAAAUUAGAAAAAGCUGUUCUUUCUCGGGGCAGCACAGUCCCUCAUCAGGGUGAAAGGUUCGGCCAGUGGAAUGUGGGGUUGGGAUCCAGCCCUGAGCCACUCACUUUCUCGGCCAGGCUCCUUUGUGCAUUGCACAGGCUACAUCCCCAUUGUGGCAGCCGUGCUUGUCCACCAUCUGUUUCUUUGAUUAUCCAUCUUCUGCAUCAAGGUAUCAUUCAGAAUAUGAAGUGUUAUUCUGGAUAAGAUUGACCGAAAAUGUCAAUCAUGCAAGCCCUGUUCAGGAUUUUAACGCACAUGACAAAGGCAUAACUUUCUCUGUGCAUGUGCAUUUGUUCAAAGUCAAACCUUAAAGGAAAUUUAGAAAAACUCUGUGGCCUGGUAAAGUCCACAGAAACCUUGUCUUCUGGUGAAUAAUCUUCAGGCUUUCAGGAAGCCUUCCUCCAAACAGUCCGGCAGAUGUUCUUGAAAUGUCAAAGGAGACUCUUCUUUCCCUCUGUGAACAAAACUAGUGAGAAAAUGAGAGCAAGAUCACAGGAGUUGACAAAGCGGUGUCUGCAGGCCACAGCAAGAGUGACAUGGAAACCACAUCGGAAGCACUGAUGGUCAUGGGAAGAAAAUGAUCUCAAGGAGGAAAAUGCCUGGAGAGGAGGCUAUUCCAGCUCUGAUAAUUCAUUUCACAGUCAGCCUGACCUGCUGGGUACUUGCAGCUAAGUCACGUUGGGAACCUUCAGCUACUAUGAGGCUGCCUUGUGGAGAGACCACCUUCAAACUGGAGAUGCCUGAGGAGCCCCAGCCAUCAAGCCCCACGCUGUUGGAGCCUUCUAGCCUAGGCCCCAGACAUGGGAAUGAAGAAGCAGUCCAGCUGGACUCCCGCCCCUAUCACCAACCUACUGCAGACUUUUGAGAGAUCCUGAAUGUUUUCAAUAAUGGGAUCCUAUUCUUCUAACCUUAAUAUGAUGCCACAAUAGAUGAGACUUUUGGUGAUCACUGGAAAGGGCCCAGCUGUUUGGGGGCUGCCACUCUGGAGAGGUCAUGUGAAGAGGCCCCAUAGAGAUAAAGAUGCCUGAGAAACCCCAGCUAUUCCAGCUCUGACUUGGUUGCGUCCUCCCAGCCUAGGCACCAGACAUCCCUCCAUGUCCUGACUAUGUGGCAAUGAACUGCUGAUUUAACCAACCUCUUUAUCUGUAAAAUGGGUUCAAAAUCAAGUCUUCAGCCCUUGGAACACAGCGGGUGUGAAGGACUGCCAGCCUCUCUGCGGCAUGGGGGAAUCUUACAUUUGUGAUGUGGAGCUCCAUGAGCCAGUAACAGCAGCACAUCUAUAUGUGCUUCCAGCCUCCUUCAGCUGGUCUGCCUUGGUGUGGGGAGUAACUUCACAGAGAUCGGAAGACGACCUGGAUCCCUAAAUGGUUUCUGCUGGCGCCAGAAUGCCUUGCAGAGGUCAUCUCCAGCACUGCCGCGCAAGGUGGCAGCAGGCGCAGAGCCCUCGGAGAGUGAAGCCCGCCAGAACCAGGAUUCAGAAGGCAAAGGACUCUUUCCCACAGAGCCAGGGUGCACAUCUGCAUAUUGUUGCACAGUGGUUUGCACACGUUUGCAUCCAAGUCCACCUCCACUCUCUCUUACUCUUCCUUUUUCCACCUCUAGUAAGACUGAAUAUUUAGGAGUGGCUCCAAAACUGUAGUAUCUAAGCCCCCAAGCCCAGUUCUCUCCAUUUCAAGUGUGUUUCGAGGACCUGAUGUCUGCACCAGCCUUUAUCUGGGGCUUUCAGGGAGAUAGAGUGUGGCUACUCACAGUUUAAUUGGGGAAAUAGUUCCAGGGGAACGUAUUAGACAGGGCAUGUUAGGGGGCAGUAGCUGCACUGGUGAGGGUGCUUGGAGUGGGCUGGAAGGGUGUGGGUGGUGAGCUCCGGAGUUUCAGCACAGGGCUUCAUAUGUGCUGGCUACUGUGUUGGGGAGGGCUCUGUGAGUCUCCUAACUCAGCCCUCCUGAGUCCCAUGGCCCUUUUUGGAGCAGGGAUGACAAAUGGGGGCCUUACAUCAUAUUAAGUAUCAUUGACCUGCUCUUGGCCUCAAUAGACCAGACCGAGUGUGGGCCUAGAGCCACAGGUGGCCUUCAGUACAGUGGCCAGGGCGACCACUCAGUCCAUCCCCAUUCACUGAUACAGAUGAGGGAAGUGAGUACAGAGCGGUCAGGUGACAUGUGACAUGCUCAAGCAUCCACACAGGAAGAGGAGCUGGGAGAUGAACCUAGGCAACCAGGCUCCUUGGUUGUGCCUUUGACCAUCACAUUCCACAGCCUCUCACGAAAGGGUAAGCUGCACUGGGCUCCAGAGCAGGAGUUAGCAGCCUGUCAGGGAUUGGUAGCACCCAGUUUGGAGUCUGACUGCCUGGGUUCAAAUCCUGACUCCACCGAUUACAGCUGUGUGACUUCAGGGAAGUCACUCGAUUUCUCAACUGAGGUUUCCUCACGUGUUGAGUGAGCACAGGCAUCUACCUCAUAGGAACCUGACCGACUUCACACCACAAUGAAUGUGCAAUAUGCGUCUGUCACUGGAUAGGGAUUGAGGGAGGAGGUCUGGGGAUGGCUAGUUGAGGGUGUAAUGAGGAGAAGGCCGGGCUGGAGCAGGGGCUGCCCAGGGAAGCAGAGGACAAGGGUGGGCCAGGGGAAGAGAGCGCCAGGGCUAGGACUAUCAGCCCUGGUGUCCUUUGUCAGUCCAGAGAGGCAGAUGUGGCAGAUUUGUCCGGAGCUGCCUGCAGUUGGUAGCCUCUCUUCACAGGACUCAUCUGGUCCCUCAUACAGAUACUAGGGAACCAGCCAUUCUGCCCCUCAUGAGAGCUCCAGGGUGGGGGAGUGCCCUCAACUCCCAGUCCCUCAGAAUGCCCCAGCAGCCCAUGAUCCACCUGCUGGGUCCACAGCAUAAUGGAAUUUUGAGUUUUCUGUCAUGGCACUUGAAAGCAAUGCCCAAGUUUCCUUGAAAAAAUGCCUAAGAAGCAUAAUGGUUUGGUCUCUGCAUGAUUGUGAAGAGGCCAUCAGACCCCAUUGUCAAAGCAGGAGAGCCCAGGGCAGCAGAAGACUGGUGGUCUCCAUGGACGGGGACUGGGGUGUUGAACAAGGCUGAGAGAGCAGAAUGGGGCGGGCUGGGGCAUGAGAGGAUGAAGCCAAGCUGCCCAUCAUGAGGAAACACUACAUAUCUAGGCAGGCAUCCUUGCCCACUCACAGGCCCAGAGACCACCAUCAAACAGUUUAGAGUGGCGGGCCAGUGUGCAGGUUUCUGGAAUAGUCGCUCAUAAGAGACUCUGUCUGGGAGUCCAGUUUGGACUAAAGCAAGUCUCUCCUCUUUACCCUUUUUAUUCAAGCAUGUUUGGGCAGACUGAGCUUAGCUAUUAACUGGAGCUAGAAGGGACUCAGGGCUCAGCCCCUUUUCGGCCCCACAGCUGUGGGCAGGGAAGAAAGGUGAAUGUGUACAACUGAGAUCUACUCUACUUGGGUGUCCAGCCCCACGGCACCAGCUCUGUGCAGGAGACCUACUGAAGGGCAGCCAAACCUGGUCUGGCACAGACAGGGUCUGCUAGAGGGUCAGGCCCUGCCCUGUCCUUCCUGGCAACCCAGGCUUGGUCAAGUCAUUCAGCCUAUCUGGGGACAAUGUUCUUGGUCUUCUCUUUUCCAUUCUUGGCUUCACUCCUCCAAACCUAUGUCCGUUAGAUCCUUUGUGACUUGGAUCCUUCCCCUUGUAUAACUCACAUGCAAUACAGUUAUCAGACCUUAUGUGUAUAGCUCGAUGGAUUGACACAUGUGUCUGUCCCCAUGUGAUUGUGACUACCAGACUGAAGCAUCUAUACACCAUCCAGCUCUACAGACGGUCCCUCUGUGCCUCUCCCCAGUAAAAACCACCCCAGCGGCGACUGCUGGACUGACUUCUGUUGUCCUAGAUUCAUUUCACCUAUUCUUGACCUUCACACAAGUGGUAUCACACAGUUUCUUCAUGUCUGGCUUAUUUUGCUCAACAUAAAUUGUUGAGAUUCACCCAUGCAGUUGUGUGUAGCAGAUGCUUUUUGCUUGCGUUUUAAUCACACAAGCAGUGUGAUUAGAUGCAGUGUGUUUAAUGCAGUGUUCCAUUAUAAGAGCAUUCCAUGAUUUGUUUAACCAUUCUCCUGUUGAUGGGUAUUUGGGUUGCUACUGUUGGGGGAACUAUGAAUAAAGCAUUCAUGCGCAUACUUAGUUACCAACAUGUGCAUUUGUCUCUCUUGGGUGGAUAGGUAGGAGUGGAAUUACUGGGUAGCUUGGAAGUUUU